RNAcentral lists this ribosomal RNA (429 nucleotides) under bacterium. RNAcentral describes it as "partial 16S ribosomal RNA". It matches the Rfam family "Bacterial small subunit ribosomal RNA", at positions 355 to 776 of the family's 1533-position model. The record is from RNAcentral.
UAGGGAAUCUUCCACAAUGGACGCAAGUCUGAUGGAGCAACGCCGCGUGAGUGAGGAAGGUUUUCGGAUCGUAAAGCUCUGUUGUUGGUGAAGAAGGAUAGAGGCAGUAACUGGUCUUUUUUUGACGGUAAUCAACCAGAAAGUCACGGCUAACUACGUGCCAGCAGCCGCGGUAAUACGUAGGUGGCAAGCGUUGUCCGGAUUUAUUGGGCGUAAAGCGAGCGCAGGCGGAAUGAUAAGUCUGAUGUGAAAGCCCACGGCUCAACCGUGGAACUGCAUCGGAAACUGGCAUUCUUGAGUGCAGAAGAGGAGAGUGGAAUUCCAUGUGUAGCGGUGGAAUGCGUAGAUAUAUGGAAGAACACCAGUGGCGAAGGCGGCUCUCUGGUCUGCAACUGACGCUGAGGCUCGAAAGCAUGGGUAGCGAACAGG